Pelobates cultripes (western spadefoot toad) is the source of this 1058-nucleotide non-coding RNA. Lineage: Eukaryota; Metazoa; Chordata; Amphibia; Anura; Pelobatidae. The record is from the annotation of a GenBank genome assembly.
CUUCUAGCGGUUGAGGCUAUUGAUGGGAGACCCCUAUCUCAACCAUUGAUUACCCAUGAGACCUUGCCUAUUUGCAUAAGGAAGACAUUACCUUCUUGAUAAAUGCUUACCUCUCUUGUCCCAUUGUGUUAGGUUUCCCUUGGCUCAUCAAGUCUAACCCUCAUAUUGACUGGACUAGAGGGGAAAUACUGGAAUAGAGUAAAGACUGUCAGGAAAACUGCAUUGUGAUGGAGUUCCCUGUACACUGGCUGGGUACCUCCGCCGACGGAUGCUCCUAGUGCUUCUCAAGGACCAUCAGCACCGCAUAAGACACCAUAAGCGCUGCAGACUCCACGAACCGCCGUAGCUUUCCUCGGUGACCAGAUUGAUCAGGUCUGGCUCUAGGUCGUUAGCUCUAGGGAGAUCCAGCAUGUCUUCACGGUACUCAUAUGUCCCAAAACCGUGGCGCUGUAGUAUUCCCAAAGUCUGGGUCGUCAAAGAUUUCCCAUAAUAGACCAGGGCCAUUGUAAUCCUCGCCCUCCGUUUGGACAUCCCUAGCCAUCCAAGGAAUACGCUGAACCGCGUACCACCUUAGCGCCUAGUAUGCUCUAGUUUCUCCACCCAUACCCCCAGGGACUGCUUCCCCAGGAGAGGCAUCCAUAUUGCAACUCUUGCCUGUAGUCACUGUUUCCUGCUGGGGAGACGCUCACCUUGCCAAUGCUGUAUAUCCUCCAGACCUUUGUAUGACAGCUCUUGUCUGGCGGCCUUUCUGUAAGCCAACAUGGCAUUCUCUGAUACAGGUCCAUAGUCUAGGACCACGAGGUUCUGCAACCUCCAGUGAAACGCUUCAUCCACUCCAAAUGCUGUGCAAGGAUUAGCUGGUUCCAUAUUGUGGUAGGUAGGGACGCUGCGCAGUAGCUAGCGUUGCCCUCAAUAGAAUUCCAUACGGUACCGGUGUCUCCAGGGUGCUGCUCCUCACACUAGGACGCCACCACAUGUUUGCAUCUGUUCCAGUUAAAAGUCCAUGGGGCAGAAACAGUACUUUUGAACAUGGGUUAUCACAGGGCCCAUAGUCCCAG